This is a non-coding RNA of Schistosoma rodhaini, 45 nucleotides long. The record is from Rfam. NCBI's taxonomy places the organism in Eukaryota, Metazoa, Platyhelminthes, Trematoda, Strigeidida, Schistosomatidae.
AUCCAGCUGACGAGUCUUAAAUAGGACGGAACGCGCGUCCUGGAU